RNAcentral lists this transfer RNA (85 nucleotides) under Alphaproteobacteria bacterium. RNAcentral describes it as "tRNA-Leu". It matches the Rfam family "tRNA". From Rfam's summary of the family: Transfer RNA (tRNA) molecules are approximately 80 nucleotides in length. Their secondary structure includes four short double-helical elements and three loops (D, anti-codon, and T loops). Further hydrogen bonds mediate the characteristic L-shaped molecular structure. tRNAs have two regions of fundamental functional importance: the anti-codon, which is responsible for specific mRNA codon recognition, and the 3' end, to which the tRNAs corresponding amino acid is attached (by aminoacyl-tRNA synthetases). tRNAs cope with the degeneracy of the genetic code in two manners: having more than one tRNA (with a specific anti-codon) for a particular amino acid; and 'wobble' base-pairing, i.e. permitting non-standard base-pairing at the 3rd anti-codon position. Lineage: Bacteria; Pseudomonadati; Pseudomonadota; Alphaproteobacteria. RNAcentral also lists the same sequence under 4 other names. The record is from RNAcentral.
GCGGCUGUGGUGAAAUUGGUAGACACGCCAGAUUUAGGUUCUGGUGGCGAGAGCCGUGGGGGUUCAAGUCCCUCCAGCCGCACCA